UGGGAGCAAAGCUUGCUCGCGAUGGCGGCGGACCAGCCAGUAUCAUUGUUGGCUGACUUGGCCCCAUCGCGAGCAAGCUUUGCUCCCA
RNAcentral lists this unclassified non-coding RNA (88 nucleotides) under Pseudomonas corrugata. Lineage: Bacteria; Pseudomonadati; Pseudomonadota; Gammaproteobacteria; Pseudomonadales; Pseudomonadaceae. The record is from RNAcentral.